AAUCAAGGCUGAGGCGUGAUGACGAGGCACUACGGUGCUGAAGCAACAAAUGCCCUGCUUCCAGGAAAAGCCUCUAAGCAUCAGGUAACAUCAAAUCGUACCCCAAACCGACACAGGUGGUCAGGUAGAGAAUACCAAGGCGCUUGAGAGAACUCGGGUGAAGGAACUAGGCAAAAUGGUGCCGUAACUUCGGGAGAAGGCACGCUGAUAUGUAGGUGAAGUCCCUUGCGGAUGGAGCUGAAAUCAGUCGAAGAUACCAGCUGGCUGCAACUGUUUAUUAAAAACACAGCACUGUGCAAACACGAAAGUGGACGUAUACGGUGUGACGCCUGCCCGGUGCCGGAAGGUUAAUUGAUGGGGUCAGCGCAAGCGAAGCUCUUGAUCGAAGCCCCGGUAAACGGCGGCCGUAACUAUAACGGUCCUAAGGUAGCGAAAUUCCUUGUCGGGUAAGUUCCGACCUGCACGAAUGGCGUAAUGAUGGCCAGGCUGUCUCCACCCGAGACUCAGUGAAAUUGAACUCGCUGUGAAGAUGCAGUGUACCCGCGGCAAGACGGAAAGACCCCGUGAACCUUUACUAUAGCUUGACACUGAACAUUGAGCCUUGAUGUGUAGGAUAGGUGGGAGGCUUUGAAGUGUGGACGCCAGUCUGCAUGGAGCCGGCCUUGAAAUACCACCCUUUAAUGUUUGAUGUUCUAACGUGGACCCGUGAUCCGGGUUGCGGACAGUGUCUGGUGGGUAGUUUGACUGGGGCGGUCUCCUCCUAAAGAGUAACGGAGGAGCACGAAGGUUGGCUAAUCCUGGUCGGACAUCAGGAGGUUAGUGCAAUGGCAUAAGCCAGCUUGACUGCGAGCGUGACGGCGCGAGCAGGUGCGAAAGCAGGUCAUAGUGAUCCGGUGGUUCUGAAUGGAAGGGCCAUCGCUCAACGGAUAAAAGGUACUCCGGGGAUAACAGGCUGAUACCGCCCAAGAGUUCAUAUCGACGGCGGUGUUUGGCACCUCGAUGUCGGCUCAUCACAUCCUGGGGCUGAAGUAGGUCCCAAGGGUAUGGCUGUUCGCCAUUUAAAGUGGUACGCGAGCUGGGUUUAGAACGUCGUGAGACAGUUCGGUCCCUAUCUGCCGUGGGCGCUGGAGAACUGAGGGGGGCUGCUCCUAGUACGAGAGGACCGGAGUGGACGCAUCACUGGUGUUCGGGUUGUCAUGCCAAUGGCACUGCCCGGUAGCUAAAUGCGGAAGAGAUAAGUGCUGAAAGCAUCUAAGCACGAAACUUGCCCCGAGAUGAGUUCUCCCUGACCCUUUAAGGGUCCUGAAGGAACGUUGAAGACGACGACGUUGAUAGGCCGGGUGUGUAAGCGCAGCGAUGCGUUGAGCUAACCGGUACUAAUGAACCGUGAGGCUUAACCUUACAACGCCGAAG
RNAcentral lists this ribosomal RNA (1413 nucleotides) under Shigella sonnei. RNAcentral's name for it is "partial 23S ribosomal RNA". It matches the Rfam family "Bacterial large subunit ribosomal RNA", at positions 1548 to 2925 of the family's 2925-position model. The record is from RNAcentral. Lineage: Bacteria; Pseudomonadati; Pseudomonadota; Gammaproteobacteria; Enterobacterales; Enterobacteriaceae.